CUUAGCAUGGCCUUCUCCUUGUUUCCUAGCCCAUUCUCUUCCAGAUAGCACUCCUCCGUGACCCUGGAGUAACUGAUUGCAGGGUGGGUUACAAACCCCUAGACUCAGUGACCCAACCCAAACGCAAUCGACAGACAGAAACCAAAUUGUUUGUAAUAGCCAGAACCUGGAAACAACCUAGAUGCCCUUCAAUGGAAGAAUGGAUGAAGAAAGUAUGGAAUAUAUACAUAUUAGAGUACUACUCAGCAGUAAAAAACAAGGACUUCUUGAAUUUUGCAUACAAAUGGAUGGAAAUAGAAAACACUAUCCUGAGUGAGGUCACCGAGAGGAGUCGCUGUUUUAUACCCUGUGAACUUCUUGGUUGGCCAGGAGGGGUCGCUGUUGAUAUCUCUCUCAACAGGGAAAGGGUGGAACUUCAUUCACCUUCCUUCCCAACCGCUUUGGGAAUGGGCAAGAGAAGGCAAACCAGAGAGUCUGACUUUAUGAUGAAGUGCUUUGGACCCAGGGUUCUCCAGAAACAUAAACUGAACCGCACCCCCCCCCCCCAAACACACGCGCGCUCGCACACCUUGUGGGAUGGACCACAAAUAAGCUGCAGAAAUUGUCUGGGUCCUGCCACUUAUUUUAGGCCAGAGCACCGAUUGUGGCAAUAACAUAUGAAAGAGGCUUCUGAAGAUGCUAGUGAUUAUGAUUCACACUCUAGAGAGGAGUUUUUGAGGCAUGGGAACAACAGCGACCAACAAAAAUCUCUACAUGUUCACUUUAUCAUGUGCCUAGGCUAGGGGAUGCAUUUGGCUUUCCUUCAUAAAAUGGAAAAAAAAAAAAAAAGAACUCAGCUAAGAGAAUGUUUUAAGCUAACCACAAGACUGGAAGACACACUAGCAUCAGCCUGACAACUGUGAGUUUAAAAGGCAAAUGAUUAUAAAAGCAUUCAUAUAAUAAAAGGAAGGGUACCGAAAAGUCCCAGUCCUAUCCUUUAAAACGGCCAAACAAACCAACCAAAACCAAACCCAAACCGCAAAUUCUGGAACAUUUUUGUACCUUCGUAAUAAAUUAGCAUUUCAAAAGUACUUUUUACCUGCUGAGAUGGUUCAUUCCGCUAAUAUGGGUAGCGCUGUGGACUUGAAUAAUUAGUGUAAAUUGCCUUUGAAUAACACGGAGCUGGGAACAACUUUAACUCGCGAAAGCUUAAUGCCUCUUGCUGGACAGGGUGAAGAGUCCUUAAUGGGGCCUGGAAAAACAACUAAUACCUACAAAUCAAAGGGGAAAAGCCGUUUUUGAUGCAUGUGUGUGAGAGUGUGAGUUUUAA
Alexandromys fortis (reed vole) is the source of this 1309-nucleotide long non-coding RNA. RefSeq lists it as uncharacterized. The record is from RefSeq and is a predicted model, not a curated record. NCBI's taxonomy places the organism in Eukaryota, Metazoa, Chordata, Mammalia, Rodentia, Cricetidae. The transcript has 3 exons.